RNAcentral lists this ribosomal RNA (305 nucleotides) under uncultured bacterium. RNAcentral describes it as "bacterial SSU rRNA". It matches the Rfam family "Bacterial small subunit ribosomal RNA", at positions 338 to 659 of the family's 1533-position model. The record is from RNAcentral.
CCUACGGGAGGCAGCAGUCGGGAAUAUUGCGCAAUGGAGGAAACUCUGACGCAGUGACGCCGCGUGCAGGAAGAAGGUUUUCGGAUUGUAAACUGCUUUAGACAGGGAAGAAAAAAGACAGUACCUGUAGAAUAAGCUCCGGCUAACUACGUGCCAGCAGCCGCGGUAAUACGUAGGGAGCAAGCGUUAUCCGGAUUUAUUGGGUGUAAAGGGUGCGUAGACGGGAAUGCAAGUUGGUUGUGAAAUCCCUCGGCUUAACUGAGGAACUGCAACCAAAACUACAUUUCUUGAGUGCUGGAGAGGAA